This 73-nucleotide transfer RNA is filed under the name Liparis tessellatus (cubed snailfish). RNAcentral's name for it is "tRNA-Thr". It matches the Rfam family "tRNA". From Rfam's summary of the family: Transfer RNA (tRNA) molecules are approximately 80 nucleotides in length. Their secondary structure includes four short double-helical elements and three loops (D, anti-codon, and T loops). Lineage: Eukaryota; Metazoa; Chordata; Actinopteri; Perciformes; Liparidae. The record is from RNAcentral.
GCACUAGUAGCUCAGCGUCAGAGCACCGGUCUUGUAAACCGGACGCCGGAGGUUAAAUUCCUCCCUACUGCUC